CCUACGGGUGGCAGCAGUGGGGAAUAUUGCACAAUGGGGGGAACCCUGAUGCAGCGACGCCGCGUGGGUGAAGAAGCGCCUCGGCGCGUAAAGCCCUGUCAGCAGGGAAGAAAAUGACGGUACCUGAAGAAGAAGCCCCGGCUAACUACGUGCCAGCGGCCGCGGUAAUACGUAGGGGGCAAGCGUUAUCCGGAUUUACUGGGUGGAAAGGGGGAGCAGACGGCGAUGCAAGCCAGGUGUGAAAGGCCGGGGCCCAACCCCGGGACUGCUCGUGGAACUGCGUGGCUGGAGUGCAGGAGGGGCAGGCGGAAUUCCUGGUGUAGCGGUGAAAUGCGUAGCUAUCAGGAGGAACACCGGUGGCGAAGGCGGCCUGCUGGACUGCAACUGACGUUGAGGCCCGAAAGCGUGGGGAGCAAACAGGAUUAGAUACCCUAGUAGUC
This 440-nucleotide ribosomal RNA is filed under the name uncultured bacterium. RNAcentral's name for it is "partial 16S ribosomal RNA". It matches the Rfam family "Bacterial small subunit ribosomal RNA", at positions 338 to 795 of the family's 1533-position model. The record is from RNAcentral.